RNAcentral lists this transfer RNA (69 nucleotides) under uncultured Aquiluna sp. It matches the Rfam family "tRNA". Rfam says of the family: Transfer RNA (tRNA) molecules are approximately 80 nucleotides in length. Their secondary structure includes four short double-helical elements and three loops (D, anti-codon, and T loops). Further hydrogen bonds mediate the characteristic L-shaped molecular structure. tRNAs have two regions of fundamental functional importance: the anti-codon, which is responsible for specific mRNA codon recognition, and the 3' end, to which the tRNAs corresponding amino acid is attached (by aminoacyl-tRNA synthetases). tRNAs cope with the degeneracy of the genetic code in two manners: having more than one tRNA (with a specific anti-codon) for a particular amino acid; and 'wobble' base-pairing, i.e. permitting non-standard base-pairing at the 3rd anti-codon position. Lineage: Bacteria; Bacillati; Actinomycetota; Actinomycetes; Micrococcales; Microbacteriaceae. The record is from RNAcentral.
GGAUGUAGCGCAGCUUGGUAGCGCAUCUGUUUUGGGAACAGAGGGUCGCAGGUUCAAAUCCUGUCAUCC